UACGUAGGGGGCAAGCGUUGUCCGGAAUCAUUGGGCGUAAAGAGCUCGUCGGCGGUUUGUCGCGUCGAAUGUGAAAACCCGGGGCUCAACCCCGGGCCUGCAUUCGAUACGGGCAGACUAGAGUUCGGUAGGGGAGUCUGGAAUUCCUGGUGUAGCGGUGAAAUGCGCAGAUAUCAGGAGGAACACCGGUGGCGAAGGCGGGACUCUGGGCCGAUACUGACGCUGAGGAGCGAAAGCGUGGGGAGCAAACAGG
This 253-nucleotide ribosomal RNA is filed under the name uncultured bacterium. RNAcentral describes it as "partial 16S ribosomal RNA". It matches the Rfam family "Bacterial small subunit ribosomal RNA", at positions 524 to 776 of the family's 1533-position model. The record is from RNAcentral.